AGGAUGAACGCUGGCGGCGUGCUUAACACAUGCAAGUCGAACGAUGAUCCCCAGCUUGCACGGGUGAUUAGUGGCGAACGGGUGAGUAACACGUGAGUAACCUGCCCUUGACUCUGGGAUAAGCCUGGGAAACUGGGUCUAAUACUGGAUAUGCACCGUGAACCGCAUGGUUUUUGGUGGAAAGAUUUAUUGGUCAAGGAUGGACUCGCGGCCUAUCAGCUUGUUGGUGAGGUAAUGGCUCACCAAGGCGACGACGGGUAGCCGGCCUGAGAGGGUGACCGGCCACACUGGGACUGAGACACGGCCCAGACUCCUACGGGAGGCAGCAGUGGGGAAUAUUGCACAAUGGGCGAAAGCCUGAUGCAGCGACGCCGCGUGAGGGAUGACGGCCUUCGGGUUGUAAACCUCUUUCAGUAGGGAAGAAGCGAAAGUGACGGUACCUGCAGAAGAAGCGCCGGCUAACUACGUGCCAGC
RNAcentral lists this ribosomal RNA (474 nucleotides) under Arthrobacter sp. b47. RNAcentral's name for it is "bacterial SSU rRNA". It matches the Rfam family "Bacterial small subunit ribosomal RNA", at positions 26 to 512 of the family's 1533-position model. The record is from RNAcentral. Lineage: Bacteria; Bacillati; Actinomycetota; Actinomycetes; Micrococcales; Micrococcaceae.